Populus tomentosa is the source of this 74-nucleotide non-coding RNA. NCBI's taxonomy places the organism in Eukaryota, Viridiplantae, Streptophyta, Magnoliopsida, Malpighiales, Salicaceae. The record is from the annotation of a GenBank genome assembly.
GUUAGAAUAGCUCAGUUGGUAAGAUCGUGUGGUUGCUAAUCAUAAGCUCGAAACUUCAAACCCUUCCUCUAGCG